RNAcentral lists this ribosomal RNA (468 nucleotides) under uncultured bacterium. RNAcentral describes it as "partial 16S ribosomal RNA". It matches the Rfam family "Bacterial small subunit ribosomal RNA", at positions 28 to 507 of the family's 1533-position model. The record is from RNAcentral.
GACGAACGCUGGCGGCGUGCUUAACACAUGCCAGUCGAACGGAAAGGCCCUGCUUUUGUGGGGUGCUCGAGUGGCGAACGGGUGAGUAACACGUGAGUAACCUGCCCUUGACUUUGGGAUAACUUCAGGAAACUGGGGCUAAUACCGGAUAGGAGCUCCUGCUGCAUGGUGGGGGUUGGAAAGUUUCGGCGGUUGGGGAUGGACUCGCGGGUUAUCAGCUUGUUGGUGGGGUAGGGGCUUACCAAGGCUUUGACGGGUAGCCGGCCUGAGAGGGUGACCGGCCACAUUGGGACUGAGAUACGGCCCAGACUCCUACGGGAGGCAGCAGUGGGGAAUAUUGCACAAUGGGCGGAAGCCUGAUGCAGCAACGCCGCGUGCGGGAUGACGGCCUUCGGGUUGUAAACCGCUUUCGCCUGUGACGAAGCGUGAGUGACGGUAAUGGGUAAAGAAGCACCGGCUAACUACGUG